Molecule: microRNA, 20 nt
Filed under: Ciona intestinalis (vase tunicate)
Lineage: Eukaryota; Metazoa; Chordata; Ascidiacea; Phlebobranchia; Cionidae
Description: cin-miR-4075-5p
Source: miRBase by way of RNAcentral
GGUCCUUGAGUUCUGAGCAC